RNAcentral lists this transfer RNA (64 nucleotides) under Falcolipeurus marginalis. RNAcentral describes it as "tRNA-Glu". Lineage: Eukaryota; Metazoa; Arthropoda; Insecta; Psocodea; Philopteridae. The record is from RNAcentral.
UUUAUAGUAGUUUAUUUUAAAACGUAUCAUUUUCAAUGAUAAAAAGAAUUUAUUUCUUAUAAUU